GAUGAACGCUGGCGGCGUGCCUAAUACAUGCAAGUCGAGCGAACGGACGAGAAGCUUGCUUCUCUGAUGUUAGCGGCGGACGGGUGAGUAACACGUGGAUAACCUACCUAUAAGACUGGGAUAACUUCGGGAAACCGGAGCUAAUACCGGAUAAUAUUUUGAACCGCAUGGUUCAACAGUGUAAGACGGUCCUGCUGUCACUUAUAGAUGGAUCCGCGCUGCAUUAGCUAGUUGGUAAGGUAACGGCUUACCAAGGCAACGAUGCAUAGCCGACCUGAGAGGAUGAUCGGCCACACUGGAACUGAGACACGGUCCAGACUCCUACGGGAGGCAGCAGUAGGGAAUCUUCCGCAAAGGGCGAAAGCCUGACGGAGCAACGCCGCGUGAGUGAUGAAGGUCUUCGGAUCGUAAAACUCUGUUAUUAGGGAAGAACAUAUGUGUAAGUAACUGUGCACAUCUUGACGGUACCUAAUCAGAAAGCCACGGCUAACUACGUG
Molecule: ribosomal RNA, 497 nt
Filed under: uncultured bacterium
Lineage: Bacteria
Description: partial 16S ribosomal RNA
Rfam family: Bacterial small subunit ribosomal RNA
Source: RNAcentral